GACGAACGCUGGCGGCGUGCUUAACACAUGCCAGUCGAACGGAAAGGCCCUGCUUUUGUGGGGUGCUCGAGUGGCGAACGGGUGAGUAACACGUGAGUAACCUGCCCUUGACGUUGGGAUAACUUCAGGAAACUGGGGCUAAUACCGGAUAGGAGCUCCUGCUGCAUGGUGGGGGGUGGAAAGUUUCGGCGGUUGGGGAUGGACUCGCGGCUUAUCAGCUUGUUGGUGGGGUAGUGGCUUACCAAGGCUUUGACGGGUAGCCGGCCUGAGAGGGUGACCGGCCACAUUGGGACUGAGAUACGGCCCAGACUCCUACGGGAGGCAGCAGUGGGGAAUAUUGCACAAUGGGCGGAAGCCUGAUGCAGCAACGCCGCGUGCGGGAUGACGGCCUUCGGGUUGUAAACCGCUUUCGCCUGUGACGAAGCGUGAGUGACGGUAAUGGGUAAAGAAGCACCGGCUAACUACGUG
RNAcentral lists this ribosomal RNA (468 nucleotides) under uncultured bacterium. RNAcentral describes it as "partial 16S ribosomal RNA". It matches the Rfam family "Bacterial small subunit ribosomal RNA", at positions 28 to 507 of the family's 1533-position model. The record is from RNAcentral.